UAAAUCAGUUAUCGUUUAUUUGAUAGUACCUUACUACUUGGAUAACCGUGGUAAUUCUAGAGCUAAUACAUGCUAAAAACCCCAACUUCGGGAGGGGUGUAUUUAUUAGAUAAAAAACCAAUGCCCUCCGGGGCUCUUUGGUGAUUCAUGAUAACUUAACGGAUCGCAUGGCCUUGCGCCGGCGACGGUUCAUUCAAAUUUCUGCCCUAUCAACUUUCGAUGGUAAGGUAUUGGCUUACCAUGGUUUCAACGGGUAACGGGGAAUUAGGGUUCGAUUCCGGAGAGGGAGCCUGAGAAACGGCUACCACAUCCAAGGAAGGCAGCAGGCGCGCAAAUUACCCAAUCCCGACUCGGGGAGGUAGUGACAAUAAAUACUGAUACAGGGCUCUUUUGGGUCUUGUAAUCGGAAUGAGUACAAUUUAAACCCCUUAACGAGGAACAAUUGGAGGGCAAGUCUGGUGCCAGCAGCCGCGGUAAUUCCAGCUCCAAUAGCGUAUAUUAAAGUUGUUGCAGUUAAAAAGCUCGUAGUUGAACCUUGGGCCUGGCUGGCCGGUCCGCCUCACCGCGUGUACUGGUCCGGCCGGGCCUUUCCUUCUGGAGAGCCGCAUGCCCUUCACUGGGUGUGUCGGGGAACCAGGACUUUUACUUUGAAAAAAUUAGAGUGUUCAAAGCAGGCCUUUGCUCGAAUACGUUAGCAUGGAAUAAUAGAAUAGGACGUGCGGUCCUAUUUUGUUGGUUUCUAGGACCGCCGUAAUGAUUAAUAGGGAUAGUCGGGGGCAUCAGUAUUCAAUUGUCAGAGGUGAAAUUCUUGGAUUUAUUGAAGACUAACUACUGCGAAAGCAUUUGCCAAGGAUGUUUUCAUUAAUCAGUGAACGAAAGUUAGGGGAUCGAAGACGAUCAGAUACCGUCGUAGUCUUAACCGUAAACUAUGCCGACUAGGGAUCGGGCGAU
This 951-nucleotide ribosomal RNA is filed under the name Lophiotrema vagabundum. Its description in RNAcentral is "SSU rRNA". It matches the Rfam family "Eukaryotic small subunit ribosomal RNA", at positions 102 to 1061 of the family's 1831-position model. Lineage: Eukaryota; Fungi; Ascomycota; Dothideomycetes; Pleosporales; Lophiotremataceae. The record is from RNAcentral.